GACGAACGCUGGCGGCGCGCUUAACACAUGCAAGUCGAACGGAAAGGCCUGCUUUCCCUUGUGGAUUGCGGGUACUCGAGUGGCGAACGGGUGAGUAACACGUGAGUGAUCCGCCCCCAACUUGGGUAUAAGCCUGGGAAACUGGGUCUAAUUCCCGAUAGGACUGCAGGGUGGUGCCUGUGGUGGAAAACGAUUUUCUAGUGGUUGGGGAUGAGCUCGCGGCCUAUCAGCUUGUUGGUGGGGUAAUGGCCUACCAAGGCGGCGACGGGUAGCCGGCCUGAGAGGGUGGACGGCCACAUUGGGACUGAGAUACAGCCCAGACUCCUACGGGAGGCAGCAGUGGGGAAUAUUGCACAAUGGGCGGAAGCCUGAUGCAGCGACGCCGCGUGGGGGAUGACGGCCUUCGGGUGGUAAACUCCUUUCGACCGCGAGGAAGCCACCUGGUUGGAAGGGUGGUGACGGUAGUGGUAGAAGAAGCACCGGCUAACUACGUG
Molecule: ribosomal RNA, 494 nt
Filed under: uncultured bacterium
Lineage: Bacteria
Description: partial 16S ribosomal RNA
Rfam family: Bacterial small subunit ribosomal RNA
Source: RNAcentral